GUGACAUACAGUGAGGCUGCAAGAGAAAAGCAAAACUUAGGAGUCUUGGAAUUGAUUCUCAGUUCUUCCAUUUGGUAAUUUUAACUAAGUUAAUUUCACUUGGGAUAGCUUCUUGUUAUUUGCAAAAUAAAAUCCAGGAUUUUUAUAAAAUAUCUUUUUUAAAUGCCUUUAUAAAAUGUCUUUUUCCUCCAAAGAUGUCACUUCCUACCUGAAGAUCACAAUUCUGAAUUUUAAUAACUGUGAAAUAAGUUUUUUAGGGUUUUGACUUUUCAGAAAUAAACUGGGGAUAAAAGUGAAAAACUAAAGGGUAGACUAGUAAAGUACAUUUAAAGUACCUGGAUGGGAUUUUUCUGUUUCGUUAUUUUUCAUAUCUUAAAAAGAAGUAUUGAAUUAUUAACUAAUCAAAAGUUGUACAUGUUUUAUUAAAAUGAAAGGGAAAAAGUUUUACAUUUAGAAAGAUUUAUAAGAAUUUAAGAUUAACAGUGAUGUUAAAGAUGAGUUAAUUGAAAAACAACCCCUUUCAAGGCUUUUGUGUAUGUUAAGAUGCAAGAAUAUGGCUGGGGUUGUGGCUCAGAGGUAGAAUGCUCACCUAGCAUGUGUAAGGCCAUGGGUUCGAUUUUCAGCACCACAUAAAAAUAAAUAAAUAAAAUAAAGGUAUUAUUUCCAACUACAACUAAAAAAAUAGAUAUUAAAAAAAGAUGCAAGAAUAUAUAAUCUAAAUUAGAUUGUAGAAGUG
This 736-nucleotide long non-coding RNA is filed under the name Marmota monax (woodchuck). The record is from RNAcentral. Lineage: Eukaryota; Metazoa; Chordata; Mammalia; Rodentia; Sciuridae.